This 250-nucleotide ribosomal RNA is filed under the name uncultured bacterium. RNAcentral's name for it is "partial 16S ribosomal RNA". It matches the Rfam family "Bacterial small subunit ribosomal RNA", at positions 524 to 773 of the family's 1533-position model. The record is from RNAcentral.
UACGAGGGGGGCAAGCGUUGUUCGGAAUUAUUGGGCGUAAAGGGUGCGUAGGCGGUUUGACAAGUCUUAUGUGAAAUCUUCGGGCUCAACCCGAAGUCUGCAUGGGAAACUGUCGGGCUUGAGUAUGGGAGAGGUGAGUGGAAUUUCCGGUGUAGCGGUGAAAUGCGUAGAUAUCGGAAGGAACACCUGUGGCGAAAGCGGCUCACUGGACCAUAACUGACGCUGAUGCACGAAAGCUAGGGGAGCAAAC